This 1554-nucleotide ribosomal RNA is filed under the name Klebsiella pneumoniae. RNAcentral's name for it is "bacterial SSU rRNA". It matches the Rfam family "Bacterial small subunit ribosomal RNA". Lineage: Bacteria; Pseudomonadati; Pseudomonadota; Gammaproteobacteria; Enterobacterales; Enterobacteriaceae. RNAcentral also lists the same sequence under 7 other names. The record is from RNAcentral.
ACUUAAAUUGAAGAGUUUGAUCAUGGCUCAGAUUGAACGCUGGCGGCAGGCCUAACACAUGCAAGUCGAGCGGUAGCACAGAGAGCUUGCUCUCGGGUGACGAGCGGCGGACGGGUGAGUAAUGUCUGGGAAACUGCCUGAUGGAGGGGGAUAACUACUGGAAACGGUAGCUAAUACCGCAUAAUGUCGCAAGACCAAAGUGGGGGACCUUCGGGCCUCAUGCCAUCAGAUGUGCCCAGAUGGGAUUAGCUAGUAGGUGGGGUAACGGCUCACCUAGGCGACGAUCCCUAGCUGGUCUGAGAGGAUGACCAGCCACACUGGAACUGAGACACGGUCCAGACUCCUACGGGAGGCAGCAGUGGGGAAUAUUGCACAAUGGGCGCAAGCCUGAUGCAGCCAUGCCGCGUGUGUGAAGAAGGCCUUCGGGUUGUAAAGCACUUUCAGCGGGGAGGAAGGCGGUGAGGUUAAUAACCUCAUCGAUUGACGUUACCCGCAGAAGAAGCACCGGCUAACUCCGUGCCAGCAGCCGCGGUAAUACGGAGGGUGCAAGCGUUAAUCGGAAUUACUGGGCGUAAAGCGCACGCAGGCGGUCUGUCAAGUCGGAUGUGAAAUCCCCGGGCUCAACCUGGGAACUGCAUUCGAAACUGGCAGGCUAGAGUCUUGUAGAGGGGGGUAGAAUUCCAGGUGUAGCGGUGAAAUGCGUAGAGAUCUGGAGGAAUACCGGUGGCGAAGGCGGCCCCCUGGACAAAGACUGACGCUCAGGUGCGAAAGCGUGGGGAGCAAACAGGAUUAGAUACCCUGGUAGUCCACGCCGUAAACGAUGUCGAUUUGGAGGUUGUGCCCUUGAGGCGUGGCUUCCGGAGCUAACGCGUUAAAUCGACCGCCUGGGGAGUACGGCCGCAAGGUUAAAACUCAAAUGAAUUGACGGGGGCCCGCACAAGCGGUGGAGCAUGUGGUUUAAUUCGAUGCAACGCGAAGAACCUUACCUGGUCUUGACAUCCACAGAACUUUCCAGAGAUGGAUUGGUGCCUUCGGGAACUGUGAGACAGGUGCUGCAUGGCUGUCGUCAGCUCGUGUUGUGAAAUGUUGGGUUAAGUCCCGCAACGAGCGCAACCCUUAUCCUUUGUUGCCAGCGGUCCGGCCGGGAACUCAAAGGAGACUGCCAGUGAUAAACUGGAGGAAGGUGGGGAUGACGUCAAGUCAUCAUGGCCCUUACGACCAGGGCUACACACGUGCUACAAUGGCAUAUACAAAGAGAAGCGACCUCGCGAGAGCAAGCGGACCUCAUAAAGUAUGUCGUAGUCCGGAUUGGAGUCUGCAACUCGACUCCAUGAAGUCGGAAUCGCUAGUAAUCGUAGAUCAGAAUGCUACGGUGAAUACGUUCCCGGGCCUUGUACACACCGCCCGUCACACCAUGGGAGUGGGUUGCAAAAGAAGUAGGUAGCUUAACCUUCGGGAGGGCGCUUACCACUUUGUGAUUCAUGACUGGGGUGAAGUCGUAACAAGGUAACCGUAGGGGAACCUGCGGUUGGAUCACCUCCUUACCUUAAAGAA